Molecule: ribosomal RNA, 389 nt
Filed under: Helicobacter pylori
Lineage: Bacteria; Pseudomonadati; Campylobacterota; Epsilonproteobacteria; Campylobacterales; Helicobacteraceae
Description: partial 16S ribosomal RNA
Source: RNAcentral
UGAUUUUACCCCCUACACCAAGAAUUCCACCUACCUCUCCCACACUCUAGAAUAGUAGUUUCAAAUGCAGUUCUAUGGUUAAGCCAUAGGAUUUCACACCUGACUGACAUAUCCCGCCUACGCGCUCUUUACGCCCAGUGAUUCCGAGUAACGCUUGCACCCUCCGUAUUACCGCGGCUGCUGGCACGGAGUUAGCCGGUGCUUAUUCGUUAGAUACCGUCAUUAUCUUCUCUAACAAAAGGAGUUUACAAUCCUAAAACCUUCAUCCUCCACGCGGCGUUGCUGCUUCAGGGUUUCCCCCAUUGAGCAAUAUUCCCUACUGCUGCCUCCCGUAGGAGUCUGGACCGUGUCUCAGUUCCAGUGUGUCCGUUCACCCUCUCAGGCCGACC